Molecule: long non-coding RNA, 243 nt
Filed under: Elaeis guineensis (African oil palm)
Lineage: Eukaryota; Viridiplantae; Streptophyta; Magnoliopsida; Arecales; Arecaceae
Description: long non-coding RNA (EGUI_LNC032817)
Source: RNAcentral
UCCCACUCUAGGCUCCUCGAUUGGCUAUGCUUGCUCUAUUACACAGCCGACUUUGUUGUGCUCAUCCAAACUUUGGAGAUGUGGUUGAGGUUGUUGUUACUACUAGGGCACUUGAUGCACGGUUGGUUGAGGGACUAUGGCCUCUUACUGAAGGGUUUGAACGGCCAUAAUUAGAGUCUGGACCUACUGCAUGAGUAGGUUAAAUUGCUCAGAGGCCAUCCCUUAGGCCUGCUGAGGGGGUGG